This 393-nucleotide ribosomal RNA is filed under the name uncultured bacterium. Its description in RNAcentral is "partial 16S ribosomal RNA". It matches the Rfam family "Bacterial small subunit ribosomal RNA", at positions 523 to 918 of the family's 1533-position model. The record is from RNAcentral.
AUACGGAGGAUCCGAGCGUUAUCCGGAUUUAUUGGGUUUAAAGGGAGCGUAGGCGGAUUAUUAAGUCAGUUGUGAAAGUUUGCGGCUCAACCGUAAAAUUGCAGUUGAUACUGGUAGUCUUGAGUGCAGCAGAGGUAGGCGGAAUUCGUGGUGUAGCGGUGAAAUGCUUAGAUAUCACGAAGAACUCCGAUUGCGAAGGCAGCUUACUGGACUGUAACUGACGCUGAUGCUCGAAAGUGUGGGUAUCAAACAGGAUUAGAUACCCUGGUAGUCCACACAGUAAACGAUGAAUACUCGCUGUUUGCGAUAUACAGCAAGCGGCCAAGCGAAAGCAUUAAGUAUCCCACCUGGGGAGUACGCCGGCAACGGUGAAACUCAAAGGAAUUGACGGGG